This 285-nucleotide ribosomal RNA is filed under the name bacterium A6(2012). Its description in RNAcentral is "partial 16S ribosomal RNA". It matches the Rfam family "Bacterial small subunit ribosomal RNA", at positions 1 to 296 of the family's 1533-position model. The record is from RNAcentral.
UAGAGUUUGAUCAUGGCUCAGAUUGAACGCUGGCGGCAGGCCUAACACAUGCAAGUCGAACGGUAACAUUUCUAGCUUGCUAGAAGAUGACGAGUGGCGGACGGGUGAGUAAUGCUUGGGAACUUGCCUUUGCGAGGGGGAUAACAGUUGGAAACGACUGCUAAUACCGCAUAAUGUCUUCGGACCAAACGGGGCUUCGGCUCCGGCGCAAAGAGAGGCCCAAGUGAGAUUAGCUAGUUGGUAAGGUAACGGCUUUCCACGGCGACGAUCUCUAGCUGUUCUGAG